Molecule: long non-coding RNA, 1150 nt
Filed under: Carassius auratus (goldfish)
Lineage: Eukaryota; Metazoa; Chordata; Actinopteri; Cypriniformes; Cyprinidae
Description: lncRNA (ENSCARG00000027383.1)
Source: RNAcentral
CAUAACCAUUUUUAUUUUGUAAUCCUUUUGAUAAGUUGUCUAAUAUCUUAUAGUUAUGUGACAAUUUCAUUUAAAAUAAAAGGCUCAUGCUAAAUUUGCUUAAACAUGGUUUCAAAGGUAACUCCAUUUCAGGAAAUGACAUCAGCACCCCAUUUUUGAAGUUCAUACAAAAGCAGAGUGUAACCUCAGAGACAACCUUUCACCAAUUAUACACAUUUUUCACCAGAUGAAUGAUGUUUUUAUACAUUUCUAUUGUCAUCCUCUUAGAGGUGCCAGCAGUUGUGCUGGGAGUGACUUUGGAUCAAGGUCCAAAGGUUGUGGUUAAAGGAGUGGGCAAAACAAUAUAUCUGCAAUGCAAGGUAAAGGAUCUGGGCGAUUCAGACUAUAUCCAUUGGUACCAAGUUAAAGACAAAGAAGCCCCAACGAGGCUACUCUACAUCAGUAAAGGAGGUAGUGUUGCUCGUGAUACCAGCGCUGAUGCAGCUGACUUCACAGUGGACAAAGCAAAGCUUUAUGAUCUAAAACUGAGUAAUUCUCAGCCAAAACAUUCUGCUGUUUAUUUCUGCGCCUACUGGGGCUCUGGCAACCACAGUGAGAAGAUUUACUCACAUCCUGUACAUGAACUAUACUGGUAAUGCUAUUACCAAUAUUUAUACUUAAAUUGUCAUUUUCUGUUUAAAUUCUUAAUUUGACUUAAACUUUAUGCACAUUCUGGCUGGAUGAUGGAAUUUGGAUCUGUUUAAAUUGGAAUUAUUAUUUUCCUGGUGUUCAUGUUUGUAUGAGUUUUUUUGACACACUGUAUUUAUAUUUGUGCUUUUGGAAUAUAUCAAGUGUAUCUUAAAUGCUAUGUGUAUAUAAAUUUUUUUUUUAUAAAAUAAAAUAAUGUAAUAUCUUUUUGAGAUGUGUUGAUGCCAUGAAAUUUAAAAUCAGUUGAAUUCUGAAAAAAAUAUUGAAAUUUGAAAAACUUCCACAUCAUUGCAUUCUGUUUUUAUUCACAAGUCCCAACUUUUCGGGUUUGUAUUUUAAUGACACUUGUCAAAUGAAUUUCGAUUCCCAUCAUGCUUCAUUUAUAUAGAUAGUUUUAUAUUGUGUGAAAAUUCUUGUUGAAGUGAUGAUGACGACAACAUGAACACAAAGAGGAAACCACAAG